CGUGCCUAAUACAUGCAAGUCGAACGCACCCUCGUUUAGAUUGAAGGAGCUUGCUCUUGAUUGAUAAACAUUUGAGUGAGUGGCGGACGGGUGAGUAACACGUGGGGUAACCUGCCCUAAAGUGGGGGAUAACAUUUGGAAACAGAUGCUAAUACCGCAUAAAACCUAACACCGCAUGGUGUAGGGUUGAAAGAUGGUUUCGGCUAUCACUUUAGGAUGGACCCCGCGGUGCAUUAGUUAGUUGGUGAGGUAAAGGCUCACCAAGACCGUGAUGCAUAGCCGACCUGAGAGGGUAAUCGGCCACACUGGGACUGAGACACGGCCCAGACUCCUACGGGAGGCAGCAGUAGGGAAUCUUCCACAAUGGACGAAAGUCUGAUGGAGCAACGCCGCGUGAGUGAAGAAGGUUUUCGGAUCGUAAAACUCUGUUGUUGGAGAAGAAUGUAUCUGAUAGUAACUGAUCAGGUAGUGACGGUAUCCAACCAGAAAGCCACGGCUAACUACGUG
Molecule: ribosomal RNA, 507 nt
Filed under: uncultured bacterium
Lineage: Bacteria
Description: bacterial SSU rRNA
Rfam family: Bacterial small subunit ribosomal RNA
Source: RNAcentral